Molecule: ribosomal RNA, 562 nt
Filed under: Fusarium nirenbergiae
Lineage: Eukaryota; Fungi; Ascomycota; Sordariomycetes; Hypocreales; Nectriaceae
Description: partial large subunit ribosomal RNA
Rfam family: Eukaryotic large subunit ribosomal RNA
Source: RNAcentral
GUAAUUUGUAGAGGAUACUUUUGAUGCGGUGCCUUCCGAGUUCCCUGGAACGGGACGCCAUAGAGGGUGAGAGCCCCGUCUGGUUGGAUGCCAAAUCUCUGUAAAGUUCCUUCAACGAGUCGAGUAGUUUGGGAAUGCUGCUCUAAAUGGGAGGUAUAUGUCUUCUAAAGCUAAAUACCGGCCAGAGACCGAUAGCGCACAAGUAGAGUGAUCGAAAGAUGAAAAGCACUUUGAAAAGAGAGUUAAAAAGUACGUGAAAUUGUUGAAAGGGAAGCGUUUAUGACCAGACUUGGGCUUGGUUAAUCAUCUGGGGUUCUCCCCAGUGCACUUUUCCAGUCCAGGCCAGCAUCAGUUUUCCCCGGGGGAUAAAGGCGGCGGGAAUGUGGCUCUCUUCGGGGAGUGUUAUAGCCCACCGUGUAAUACCCUGGGGGGGACUGAGGUUCGCGCAUCUGCAAGGAUGCUGGCGUAAUGGUCAUCAACGACCCGUCUUGAAACACGGACCAAGGAGUCGUCUUCGUAUGCGAGUGUUCGGGUGUCAAACCCCUACGCGUAAUGAAAGUGA